Molecule: ribosomal RNA, 419 nt
Filed under: bacterium
Lineage: Bacteria
Description: partial 16S ribosomal RNA
Rfam family: Bacterial small subunit ribosomal RNA
Source: RNAcentral
UGGGGGAUAUUGCACAAUGGGCGAAAGCCUGAUGCAGCGACGCCGCGUGGGGGAUGAAGGCCUUCGGGUUGUAAACUUCUUUUGCUCUGAACAAGGCGCACCAUGGGGUGUGUUGAGUGUAGGGGUUGAUUAGCGCCGGCUAACUACGUGCCAGCAGCCGCGGUAAUACGUAGGGAGCGAGCGUUGUCCGGAAUUAUUGGGCGUAAAGGGCGGGUAGGUGGCUGGUUGCGUCUGUCGUGAAAGCUCAUGGCUUAACUGUGGGUUUGCGGUGGGUACGGGCUGGCUUGAGUGCAGUAGGGGAGGCUGGAAUUCCUGGUGUAGCGGUGGAAUGCGCAGAUAUCAGGAGGAAUCCCGGUGGCGAAGGCGGGUCUCUGGGCUGUUACUGACACUGAGGAGCGAAAGCAUGGGGAGCGAACAGG